GAAAUUGUUGGGAGCCUAAAUAAAUGCCUCUGUAAUCAAUAAAAUGCAGACUUUUAGUCUCUAUACCAUUCCUUCAAAAAAGCAACACACAACCGGUCAGAAUUUUGCAAUUGGAAGCCAAACCGAUGUAAAUUUUGAAGAUGUUGGUGAAGAAUUUACUGGUCACAAGCUGGUUCCUGCGGUACGCUCACCAAGUGUCCGAAGCACAGCUUUCAGGUCCAACGAAGUAUCAAAAUGCUCAAUCCGCGGAUUCAUGGUCUUCUUCAAGU
Molecule: unclassified non-coding RNA, 269 nt
Filed under: Hevea brasiliensis (rubber tree)
Lineage: Eukaryota; Viridiplantae; Streptophyta; Magnoliopsida; Malpighiales; Euphorbiaceae
Source: RNAcentral